UGGCCAACUUGUGCCCCAUGACUUUUCUAUAUAAUUCCUUAGUCUGUCCUAACAAUGAAAACAAUUUGCUGCCAACAUCCAUUUUAGGAAAUGAUGAAUAGCAUUCUGUGCCAAUCCCAGUCAUUUAGUGGCAGCUGUCUCUGUAUGUAACAUUGAAGGAAUCUGAGGUUACUUGGGGGUUCAAAAGGACCACACAGGCAUCACUAGAUAUAGAUAUCCUAAAAGUUACACUAAACUUUGGAAUAGAGAUGACUUAAAUAAUUACUUUCUUUUGUGUAUGUGCCAUAUUCCAUUUAAAUGCUUUGCAUUUGUCAAUUUAUUUAAUGUUUACCAAAAAAAUUAUAAGGUAGAUAAUGGCAUGGAAAGUUUGGCCAAGGCAGUUCAGCUGGUAAGUGGCAGGUGAAUGUUACAUUGCCUUUUAGUAGGUUGACAACUAGGAGUUUGCAGUCAGAUUGCUGAUUCUUACUUGUGCCAUUCAUGAAUACACAUCACAAGUAGGUAUGGCUUUAACUACAUAGUGGAAAGCAUUCACUACUUAGUGGAUUAACAGUUAUUGAUAAUACACAUGGGUCUUAGAAUUAACCACUUUUUCCUAUGUAGGCAGAAAGUGAAACUCUUCACUGCUCACAACAAUAUGACCAACUAUGCUACCGUAUGGGCAUCAAAAACAAACCUUGAGCAACGGAAAGGGCGAGCUGGCCGAGUACGGCCUGGAUUCUGCUUUCACCUGUGCAGUCGAGCUCGUUUUGAGAGACUUGAAACCCACAUGACACCAGAGAUGUUCCGAACACCAUUGCAUGAAAUUGCUCUUAGCAUAAAACUUCUGCGUCUAGGAGGAAUUGGCCAAUUUCUGGCCAAAGCAAUUGAACCUCCCCCUUUGGAUGCUGUGAUUGAAGCAGAACACACUCUUAGAGAGCUUGAUGCAUUAGAUGCCAAUGAUGAGUUGACUCCUUUGGGACGAAUCCUGGCUAAACUCCCCAUUGAGCCUCGUUUUGGCAAAAUGAUGAUAAUGGGGUGUAUUUUCUACGUGGGAGAUGCUAUCUGUACCAUUGCUGCUGCUACCUGCUUUCCAGAGCCUUUCAUCAAUGAAGGAAAGCGGCUGGGCUAUAUCCAUCGAAAUUUUGCUGGAAACAGAUUUUCUGAUCACGUAGCCCUUUUAUCAGUAUUCCAAGCCUGGGAUGAUGCUAGAAUGGGUGGAGAAGAAGCAGAGAUACGUUUUUGUGAGCACAAAAGACUGAAUAUGGCUACACUAAGAAUGACCUGGGAAGCCAAAGUUCAGCUCAAAGAGAUUUUGAUUAAUUCUGGGUUUCCAGAAGAUUGUUUGUUGACACAAGUGUUUACUAACACUGGACCAGAUAAUAAUUUGGAUGUUGUUAUCUCCCUCCUGGCCUUUGGUGUGUACCCCAAUGUGUGCUAUCAUAAGGAAAAGAGGAAGAUUCUCACCACUGAAGGGCGUAAUGCACUUAUCCACAAAUCAUCUGUUAAUUGUCCUUUUAGUAGCCAAGACAUGAAGUACCCAUCUCCCUUCUUUGUAUUUGGUGAAAAGAUUCGAACUCGAGCCAUCUCUGCUAAAGGCAUGACUUUAGUCACCCCCCUGCAGUUGCUUCUCUUUGCCUCCAAGAAAGUCCAAUCUGAUGGGCAGAUUGUGCUUGUAGAUGACUGGAUUAAACUGCAAAUAUCUCAUGAAGCUGCUGCCUGUAUCACUGGUCUCCGGGCAGCCAUGGAGGCUCUGGUUGUUGAAGUAACCAAACAACCUGCUAUCAUCAGCCAGUUGGACCCCGUAAAUGAACGUAUGCUGAACAUGAUCCGUCAGAUCUCUAGACCCUCAGCUGCUGGUAUCAACCUUAUGAUUGGCAGUACACGGUAUGGAGAUGGUCCACGUCCUCCCAAGAUGGCCCGAUAUGACAAUGGAAGUGGAUAUAGAAGGGGAGGUUCUAGUUACAGUGGUGGAGGCUAUGGCAGUGGCUAUAGCAGUGGAGGCUAUGGUAGCGGAGGCUAUGGUGGCAGUGCCAACUCCUUUCGGGCAGGAUAUGGUGGUGUUGGUGGAGGCUAUAGAGGAGUUUCCCGAGGUGGCUUUAGAGGCAACUCUGGAGGAGACUACAGAGGGCCUAGUGGAGGCUACAGAGGAUCUGGGGGAUUCCAGCGAGGAGGUGGUAGGGGGGCCUAUGGAACUGGCUACUUUGGACAGGGAAGAGGAGGUGGCGGCUAUUAAAACUUGGUUAUGUCAGUUCCUGUGUGUAGACAGUAAGGAAAAAAAGGCAUGCUAUGUGUUACGUGUUUCUUCCAGUAUGUUUAUUUGCCACCAAAAAGUAAAUGCAUUUUCACCCAUUCUGUGGUUCAUUGUAGUUUAAGGAAACCAAGCAUAUAGAUGCAUUAGUGAUUUUGUUUAUAUUAUGUAAAAUAUAACGAUCUCUUAAAAAUACCACAGUUUGUAUUUUUUCUUUAAGGAGUAAAGAUUUGCCUUUAAAUAACUUGGUAUUUUCCUGGCUUUCGUUUAAUACAAUAGAAAAUAAAGUAUUACACCG
RNAcentral lists this small RNA (2525 nucleotides) under Pongo abelii (Sumatran orangutan). Its description in RNAcentral is "processed transcript". The record is from RNAcentral. Lineage: Eukaryota; Metazoa; Chordata; Mammalia; Primates; Hominidae.